UACGUAGGGGGCAAGCGUUGUCCGGAUUUAUUGGGCGUAAAGAGCGUGUAGGCGGCUUUACAGGUCCGUUGUGAAAACUCGAGGCUCAACCUCGAGACGCCGGUGGAAACCGUAAGGCUAGAGUCCGGAAGAGGAGAGUGGAAUUCCUGGUGUAGCGGUGAAAUGCGCAGAUAUCAGGAAGAACACCCGUGGCUAAGGCGGCUCUCUAGUACGGUACUGACGCUGAGGUGCGAAAGCGUGGGGAGCAAACAGG
RNAcentral lists this ribosomal RNA (253 nucleotides) under uncultured bacterium. Its description in RNAcentral is "partial 16S ribosomal RNA". It matches the Rfam family "Bacterial small subunit ribosomal RNA", at positions 524 to 776 of the family's 1533-position model. The record is from RNAcentral.